AGUGAACGCUGGCGGUAGGCCUAACACAUGCAAGUCGAACGGCAGCACAGUAAGAGAUUGAUCUUAAGGGAAGAAACUGGCAGACGGGUGAGGAAUACAACGGAAACUACUUUUUCGUGGGGGAUAACGUAGGGAAACUUACGCUAAUACCGCAUACGACCUACGGGUGAAAGCAGGGGAUCUUCGGACCUUGCGCGAUUGAAUGAGCCGAUGUCGGAUUAGCUAGUUGGCGGGGUAAAGGCCCACCAAGGCGACGAUCCGUAGCUGGUCUGAGAGGAUGAUCAGCCACACUGGAACUGAGACACGGUCCAGACUCCUACGGGAGGCAGCAGUGGGGAAUAUUGGACAAUGUGCGCAAGCCUGAUCCAGCCAUACCGCGUGGGUGAAGAAGGCCUUCGGGUUGUAAAGCCCUUUUGUUGGGAAAGAAAAGCAGCAGGUUAAUACCCCGCUGUUCUGACGGUACCCAAAGAAUAAGCACCGGCUAACUUCGU
RNAcentral lists this ribosomal RNA (491 nucleotides) under uncultured bacterium. Its description in RNAcentral is "partial 16S ribosomal RNA". It matches the Rfam family "Bacterial small subunit ribosomal RNA", at positions 29 to 506 of the family's 1533-position model. The record is from RNAcentral.